This 467-nucleotide ribosomal RNA is filed under the name uncultured bacterium. RNAcentral's name for it is "partial 16S ribosomal RNA". It matches the Rfam family "Bacterial small subunit ribosomal RNA", at positions 29 to 507 of the family's 1533-position model. The record is from RNAcentral.
ACGAACGCUGGCGGCGUGCUUAACACAUGCAAGUCGAACGGAAAGGCCCUGCUUUUGUGGGGUGCUCGAGUGGCGAACGGGUGAGUAACACGUGAGUAACCUGCCCUUGACUUUGGGAUAACUUCAGGAAACUGGGGCUAAUACCGGAUAGGAGCUCCUGCUGCAUGGUGGGGGUUGGAAAGUUUCGGCGGUUGGGGAUGGACUCGCGGCUUAUCAGCUUGUUGGUGGGGUAGUGGCUUACCAAGGCUUUGACGGGUAGCCGGCCUGAGAGGGUGACCGGCCACAUUGGGACUGAGAUACGGCCCAGACUCUUACGGGAGGCAGCAGUGGGGAAUAUUGCACAAUGGGCGGAAGCCUGAUGCAGCAACGCCGCGUGCGGGAUGACGGCCUUCGGGUUGUAAACCGCUUUCGCCUGUGACGAAGCGUGAGUGACGGUAAUGGGUAAAGAAGCACCGGCUAACUACGUG